RNAcentral lists this ribosomal RNA (253 nucleotides) under uncultured bacterium. RNAcentral describes it as "partial 16S ribosomal RNA". It matches the Rfam family "Bacterial small subunit ribosomal RNA", at positions 524 to 776 of the family's 1533-position model. The record is from RNAcentral.
UACGUAGGGGGCUAGCGUUGUCCGGAAUCAUUGGGCGUAAAGCGCGUGUAGGCGGUUCGGUAAGUCCGCUGUGAAAGUCGGGGGCUCAACCCUCGGAUGCCGGUGGAUACUGUCGGACUAGAGUACGGAAGAGGCGAGUGGAAUUCCUGGUGUAGCGGUGGAAUGCGCAGAUAUCAGGAGGAACACCAAUAGCGAAGGCAGCUCGCUGGGACGGUACUGACGCUAAGGCGCGAAAGCGUGGGGAGCGAACAGG